RNAcentral lists this ribosomal RNA (473 nucleotides) under uncultured bacterium. Its description in RNAcentral is "partial 16S ribosomal RNA". It matches the Rfam family "Bacterial small subunit ribosomal RNA", at positions 28 to 523 of the family's 1533-position model. The record is from RNAcentral.
GACGAACGCUGGCGGCGUGCUUAACACAUGCAAGUCGAACGGUAAGGCCCUUCGGGGUACACGAGUGGCGAACGGGUGAGUAACACGUGGGUGAUCUGCCCUGCACUUCGGGAUAAGCCUGGGAAACUGGGUCUAAUACCGGCUAGGACUCCUGGCUUCAUGGCUGGGGGUGGAAAGCUUUUGCGGUGUGGGAUGGGCCCGCGGCCUAUCAGCUUGUUGGUGGGGGAAUGGCCUACCAAGGCGACGACGGGUAGCCGGCCUGUGAGGGUGACCGGUCACACUGGGACUGAGAUACGGCCCAGACUCCUGCGGGAGGCAGCAGUGGGGAAUAUUGCACAAUGGGCGCAAGCCUGAUGCAGCGACGCCGCGUGAGGGAUGACGGCCUUCGGGUUGUAAACCGCUUUCAGCAGGGAUGAAACUGACAGUACCUGCAGAAGAAGCCCCGGCUAACUACGUGCCAGCCGCCGCAGUAA